This 662-nucleotide long non-coding RNA is filed under the name Danio rerio (zebrafish). RNAcentral describes it as "si:dkey-57c15.11 (ENSDARG00000099295.2)". Lineage: Eukaryota; Metazoa; Chordata; Actinopteri; Cypriniformes; Danionidae. The record is from RNAcentral.
GUUCUGUUUACCCAGCAGCCACGUUGUUCCUGUUCCAGUUGGGGUGGAUGUAGACAUUGCUGACGGUCAUGUACUGCUCACGGCCCUCCUGUUUGUAGAUGUCGUGCUCACCGAGGACAACACGCCAAGUUCUUGAGCUACACAAGAUGGAAGAAGAAAUGUUAAUUGUAUACGGGCCUACUGCCUUUUCACAUCCUUAAUGUCGAAAGUGGUAAAAAGUCAUUUGACAAUAAAUGAAUGAAGAGACAAAAGACGUGGAUUCCUUACGUAUCAACGCAGUGAGCGGCGGUCAAAACAAAGUUCUGUUUGAUCAGAGUUCCACCACAGAAAGAGAGAAAGAUCUUACCCAAAGCGGCCAGCACACUCAACAACAGGAUCCUCAGCAUGUUUGCAGUCUUUCUGGACCUUCUGCACUCUGAGCUCCUCCAUCAUCCCUAUAUAUACACACCCACAGACGGUCAAGCGGCGCUGGACACAACAGGUUUUCUGAUGCUUACAGGUGUGUGAAUCCCACCGAUAACACCGGUGCCAAGGCCAGCGUGCCAGAUGCAGAAUAAGCAAUUUUUUCUGCUUUGAUAAUGUUUAACCUGAAUAAGUUAAACAAUAAGUCUUAUAUACAGUAAUGUAAAGUUUAAAUAAAUGCACACAUUUUAACGCUCCUA